CGUGAGAAUCUGCCCUCAGGAGGGGGAUAACGGCUGGAAACGGCCGCUAAUACCCCAUAUGCCGCGAGGUGAAACGAAAUUCGCCUGAGGAUGAGCUCGCGUCUGAUUAGCUAGUUGGUGGGGUAAGAGCCUACCAAGGCAUCGAUCAGUAGCUGGUCUGAGAGGAUGAUCAGCCACACUGGGACUGAGACACGGCCCAGACUCCUACGGGAGGCAGCAGUGGGGAAUUUUCCGCAAUGGGCGAAAGCCUGACGGAGCAACGCCGCGUGAGGGAUGAAGGCCUCUGGGCUGUAAACCUCUUUUCUCAAGGAAGAAGAUCUGACGGUACUUGAGGAAUAAGCCACGGCUAAUUCCGUGCCAGCAGCCGCGGUAAUACGGGGGUGGCAAGCGUUAUCCGGAAUUAUUGGGCGUAAAGCGUCCGCAGGCGGCCCUUCAAGUCUGCUGUUAAAAAGUGGAGCUUAACUCCAUCGUGGCAGUGGAAACUGUUGGGCUAGAGUGUGGUAGGGGCA
RNAcentral lists this ribosomal RNA (509 nucleotides) under Synechococcus sp. MS-M-13. RNAcentral's name for it is "bacterial SSU rRNA". It matches the Rfam family "Bacterial small subunit ribosomal RNA", at positions 116 to 659 of the family's 1533-position model. The record is from RNAcentral. Lineage: Bacteria; Bacillati; Cyanobacteriota; Cyanophyceae; Synechococcales; Synechococcaceae.